UACGGGGGGAGCAAGCGUUGUUCGGAGUUACUGGGCGUAAAGGGCGCGUAGGCGGCCACCGCAAGUCGGUUGUGAAAUCUCUGGGCUUAACCCAGAAAGGUCAACCGAUACUGCGGGGCUAGAGUGCAGAAGGGGCAACUGGAAUUCUCGGUGUAGCGGUGAAAUGCGUAGAUAUCGAGAGGAACACCUGCGGCGAAGGCGGGUUGCUGGGCUGACACUGACGCUGAGGCGCGAAAGCGUGGGGAGCAAACGGG
RNAcentral lists this ribosomal RNA (254 nucleotides) under uncultured bacterium. RNAcentral's name for it is "partial 16S ribosomal RNA". It matches the Rfam family "Bacterial small subunit ribosomal RNA", at positions 524 to 776 of the family's 1533-position model. The record is from RNAcentral.